Non-coding RNA from Camelina sativa (false flax), 137 nucleotides. NCBI's taxonomy places the organism in Eukaryota, Viridiplantae, Streptophyta, Magnoliopsida, Brassicales, Brassicaceae. The record is from RefSeq and is a predicted model, not a curated record.
GUUCUGAAGUAUAUGACUGAUGGUAUGCUUCUGCGUGAGCUGCUUGGCGAACCAGAUCUGGCCAGCUACAGUGUCGUUAUUGUGGAUGAGGCGCAUGAAAGGACCUUGUCAACCGAUAUACUGUUUGGAUUAGUCAA